AAUGAACGUUGGCGGCGUGGAUUAGGCAUGCAAGUCGAGCGAGAACCGGAGCAAUCCGGGGAAAGCGGCAAACGGGGUAGUAAUGCAUCGGUCACGUGCCCUCAGGUCGGGGAUAGCCAGGGGAAACUCUGAUUAAUACCCGAUAAUCUCGAGAGAGCAAAGAUUUAUUGCCGGAGGAGCGGCCGAUGUGACAUCAGGUAGUUGGUGAGGUAACGGCCCACCAAGCCAUAGACGUCUAGGGGGCGUGAGAGCGCGACCCCCCACCACUGGGACUGAGAUACUGCCCAGACACCUACGGGUGGCAG
Molecule: ribosomal RNA, 305 nt
Filed under: uncultured Planctomycetota bacterium
Lineage: Bacteria; Pseudomonadati; Planctomycetota
Description: bacterial SSU rRNA
Rfam family: Bacterial small subunit ribosomal RNA
Source: RNAcentral